RNAcentral lists this ribosomal RNA (262 nucleotides) under uncultured bacterium. RNAcentral describes it as "partial 16S ribosomal RNA". It matches the Rfam family "Bacterial small subunit ribosomal RNA", at positions 29 to 288 of the family's 1533-position model. The record is from RNAcentral.
AUUAACGCUGGCGGCAGGCAUAAUACAUGCAAGUUGAACGGCAGCACAGGUAGCAAUACCGGGUGGCGAGUGGCGCACGGGUGCGUAACACGUAUGCAACCUACCCUAUACAGGCGAAUAACCUUUAGAAAUGAGGGCUAAUACGCCGUGGUAUUAUCUUGGGGCAUCUUGAGAUAAUUAAAGAUUUAUCGGUAUAGGAUGGGCAUGCGUCCCAUUAGUUAGUUGGUAGGGUAACGGCCUACCAAGGCUAUGAUGGGUAGGG